This 350-nucleotide unclassified non-coding RNA is filed under the name soil metagenome. RNAcentral describes it as "partial contains 5.8S ribosomal RNA, internal transcribed spacer 2, and large subunit ribosomal RNA". The stretch from base 1 to 120 matches the Rfam family "5.8S ribosomal RNA", at positions 35 to 154 of the family's 154-position model. The record is from RNAcentral.
GAUGAAGAACGUAGCGAACUGCGAUAAGUAAUUUGAAUUGCAGAAUUCAGUGAAUCAUCGAGUCUUUGAACGCACAUUGCGCCCCCUGGCAUUCCGGGGGGCAUGCCUGUCCGAGCGUCAUUGCUGCCCUUCAAGCCCGGCUUGUGUGUUGGGUCGUCGUCCCCCCCGGGGGACGGGCCCGAAAGGCAGCGGCGGCACCGCGUCCGGUCCUCGAGCGUAUGGGGCUUUGUCACCCGCUCGAUUAGGGCCGGCCGGGCGGCAGCCGGCGUCUCCAACCUUCUAUUUUACCAGGUUGACCUCGGAUCAGGUAGGGAUACCCGCUGAACUUAAGCAUAUCAAUAAGCGGAGGA